This 316-nucleotide long non-coding RNA is filed under the name Lathyrus oleraceus (garden pea). RNAcentral's name for it is "Pisum sativum (pea) long non-coding RNA (PSAT_LNC009246)". The record is from RNAcentral. Lineage: Eukaryota; Viridiplantae; Streptophyta; Magnoliopsida; Fabales; Fabaceae.
UGCUGAUGUAAGCCCAAUGAUUGGCAUUCAGGCUCCACGUUUGCCUUCUUGUGUGUGUUUUGGUUCGGAUGCUGAUGUAAGCCCAGUGAUUGGCAUUCAGGCUCCACGUUUGCCUUUGCCUGUGUUUGUUUGUGUGCGUGUUAGCCGAGCUACGGAUGCUCUGAUUCUCCUUCGUCCAGGAGAUACGUAUGCAUAGGAUGCGAUAUCCUAGCGAGCAUGUGUCGUUUCCCCAGUCCGAACUACUUAGACUCUGAUGUCUAUGUUUGAUAGACUAAGUAGGCCCAGGAUGCGAUAUCCUGCCGAGUCAGUCUUGUUU